GACUCGAAAGCGGAGUGGUCCGCGUCUGCUUGAUGUGAGAAGAGUCGAGGGUUUGAAUACAGAUAUUGUCGGUUCGACUCCGGCUCGAGUCU
Non-coding RNA from Mycena metata, 92 nucleotides. Lineage: Eukaryota; Fungi; Basidiomycota; Agaricomycetes; Agaricales; Mycenaceae. The record is from the annotation of a GenBank genome assembly.